AUUUAUAUAGUUUAAAUUAAAACAUUACAUUUUCACUGUAAUCUACCAGAUAAUUAUUUAUAAGUA
Molecule: transfer RNA, 66 nt
Filed under: Paulinia acuminata
Lineage: Eukaryota; Metazoa; Arthropoda; Insecta; Orthoptera; Acrididae
Description: tRNA-Glu
Source: RNAcentral